Molecule: ribosomal RNA, 468 nt
Filed under: uncultured bacterium
Lineage: Bacteria
Description: bacterial SSU rRNA
Rfam family: Bacterial small subunit ribosomal RNA
Source: RNAcentral
UUCCAGACUCCUACGGGAGGCAGCAGUGAGGAAUAUUGGUCAAUGGGCGGGAGCCUGAACCAGCCAAGCCGCGUGAGGGAAGAAGGUACAGCGUAUCGUAAACCUCUUUUGUCAGGGAACAAAGGCGGGGACUAGUCCCCGGAUGAGGGUGCCUGAAGAAAAAGCAUCGGCUAACUCCGUGCCAGCAGCCGCGGUAAUACGGAGGAUGCGAGCGUUAUCCGGAUUUAUUGGGUUUAAAGGGUGCGUAGGCGGACGCUUAAGUCAGCGGUAAAAUUGCGGGGCUCAACCUCGUCGAGCCGUUGAAACUGGGUGCCUUGAGUGGGCGAGAAGUACGCGGAAUGCGUGGUGUAGCGGUGAAAUGCAUAGAUAUCACGCAGAACUCCGAUUGCGAAGGCAGCGUACCGGCGCCCAACUGACGCUGAAGCACGGAGGCGUGGGUAUCGAACAGGAUUAGAUACCCUUGUAAAU